UAGAGCUGGACUUUUCCCAAAGCCACCGUAUAAACAGGAGUCUCCUUCCGGGAACCCGACCUAGCCAGCCACAGGGGAUCCAAACAGGGGCACUUCCGGUCCUCCGGAAAACAAAUUCCUCACCCCACCCUUGGCCGUUUUGUUUAGGCCCACAAGGGCAAAAGUACAGACACCCUCACACACACAUGCACACAGACACACACACAGAUACACACAGACACUCAUACACAGACACUCACACACACACACACACACAGACAUGCACACACACUCACACACACUGUGCAAGUAGACAGAAGUUAAAACAACAACUCACGUGUUCCCGAGGCCUGAUCACCUCCAGGAAGCCUGGCAGCCUGUCAUCACCGGGUCCUGCAGGACCCCCACCUGUCUCCCCUUUCUCCCUCCUCUGGCCCCCAACAAGGUUUGCUUCCCCUGCCCCGCCCACAGGCAGGCAGGCAGGGAUGGUGGCCCAGGUGGGGACAGACUGAGGUUCUGCUCCAACAGAAAACAGGUAAGAGGCAGCCCCGCCCCUGCCCCCAGGUCAGGUCUCCUCCUCCUGUCCCCAGAGGCUCCCAGGACAAAGUCCACCACGGUCAUGUGUCACCUGGGACAGGGCAGGGCUGGAGGCUGGAUGGUGAAGCCGACCUGCGAAAGCACCUGGGAGCCUGCGGGAAGCCAGACUCCAAUCUGGGGUGUGGGGAAUCACCCACCUCCAGGAAGUGUCUCAGCUUUGAUAUCCGUCUCUCACUUCAAAGCUGAGGUUCUCCCCUUGGCUCCUUCCUGGGAGCAGCGCGGAUCCUUGUUGCCCUCCAAGCCUGGAAGGAAAGGAUGUAUUUUGGUCAAUGAAGUUAUUUCUGCCCCCAAAGAGCUAGGAGACAGCUCUUGUGGGUCCCAGCACCCAGGGCCAGAGGCAAGCAGGGCAGCCAGUCCUGGGCUCGGACACCUGCAUCCUGGCUGGACGCCACAGCGGGGGAGGCGCUGUGUUUCUCUAACGCCCCCUCCCAGGAGGCCCCACGCCCAACCUGGGGCUUGA
This 1036-nucleotide long non-coding RNA is filed under the name Mustela putorius furo (domestic ferret). RNAcentral describes it as "lncRNA (ENSMPUG00000024469.1)". The record is from RNAcentral. Lineage: Eukaryota; Metazoa; Chordata; Mammalia; Carnivora; Mustelidae.